UUCUAUAGCAAACGUAUUUUCAGAAAUGGA
RNAcentral lists this non-coding RNA (30 nucleotides) under Rattus norvegicus (Norway rat). The record is from RNAcentral. Lineage: Eukaryota; Metazoa; Chordata; Mammalia; Rodentia; Muridae.